Molecule: unclassified non-coding RNA, 403 nt
Filed under: soil metagenome
Description: partial contains 5.8S ribosomal RNA, internal transcribed spacer 2, and large subunit ribosomal RNA
Rfam family: 5.8S ribosomal RNA (bases 1-120)
Source: RNAcentral
GAUGAAGAACGUAGCGAAAUGCGAUAAGUAAUGUGAAUUGCAGAAUUCAGUGAAUCAUCGAAUCUUUGAACGCACCUUGCGCCCUUUGGACUUCUGAAGGGCAUGCCUGUUUGAGUAUCAUGAACACCUCAACUCCUUAUGGUCUUCCAUGAUGAGCUUGGACUUUGGGGGUUUUGCUGGCCUACAGUCAGCUCCUCUAAAAUAAAUCAGCUUACCGGUGUUUGGUGGGUAUCAUGGGUGUGAUAACUAUCUACGCUCGUGGUUUUCCACCAGGUAACCUUCAGCAGUGGAGGUUCACUGGAGCUCAUAGAUGUCUCUCCUCAGCGAGGACAGCCCUCUGAUUGUUUGAUCUCAAAUCAGGUAGGACUACCCGCUGAACUUAAGCAUAUCAAUAAGCGGAGGA